CCUGAUUUUGGCCUACUCUGAACUGUUAUACACUUAUCGUUUAGCUGUCAUUUGUGUCUGCUACACGCAAUUUCGUUGGUGUUAGUGAGAUCGUGCGAGGAGAGAAGAACGUGCAUCUUCGAUUUUCAAAACAAUCCUAUUUCAACGGUCGCAAGAGGUUGCAAGAUUUUUGUUUUCUGUCGAUUGUUCCGCGGUGAAUAAUUACGGUGAAAAAUUGAGAACGAUAACGUGCUAGGAGUGGCCAAGAACGCAGGAAAUCAAGAAGGUCAACCAACUAACCACCCGGACACGAACAAGGGCGAUCCGGAUUCGAGCCGAAAGUUUCAGGAAGUUUUCGAGACAAUUGGAAAACCUGCGGAAGAAUUGACCAGUCAUCCAAAUCCAGCGGUGAAAGGAAGGCUGCAACGAAUCAGGUGAUUCCGUCGAUCGGCAUUUGAUUACUCGCCCAGCGGAAGUGCGGAAGUACAAGCAAUCUAUCGGUCGGAAGUUCUGCGGUUUUAUCGGGGCUACUGAGAGAGGCAACAAAAACGGAGAUAAUACGGAGAUGCCACAGACGGUAGCUGGAAGUGCGAAAAGUUGGUGAUGGUGGCCAAACGGCCACAAAAUACGAGAGCAGACUAUUCUACGUGCAACAACAUGGAAUUACUCCCGGAGAGGGAUCGAGCAAUUUCAAGAUGCGAAAAGCAGAAAUCCAAGGACAAACACAGUGGAGUGUGCUUGUGCAUCUGCUAUACCGAUUCGGUCCAGAUCUAACUGAUUCGACCACCCCCAUUCGCCAUCCGUUGUUAAUCGUUUUAUGACGACUUUGACUUUCGCUGCUAUAUCGGGUUUGUAUUUCCUCGAAGUUUAUACUUCCUUAUUUAGAGUUCCUUCGGGAAUAUCUGUAGUAGUUUCCACGGAAAUUCCUGCAAGAAUAUCUUCAAUUCCUUCAGUUGUUUCUUCGGCAAUGCCUUCGUGAUUUCCAUCUGAAAUUCCUUCAGGAGUUUCUUUGGGAAUUUUUCCAGAACUUCUUCGAGGAUUCGUCCAAGGGUUCUUUCAAUAAUAAUUAUUAUUCCAGCAGUUCCUUGGGAAAAGCACCAGAAGAUUUUUCAGGACAUAUUUUUUGUAAUUAUACAGGAGUUCCUUAUGCGCAUCUACCAAGAGUUCAUUCUGACUUACUUCAGGAUUAUCUUAGAAAAUUUGUCAAAUAGUUUCUUCGAAAAUCGUUCCAGUAGUUUCUUCGGGAAUUCCUACAGGAAUUUCUUCGGGAAGUUCUCAAAGAUUUUUUUCGGGAAUUGCUAGAGAAGUUCUUUUGAAUAUGGAUUUUAUUUUAAAAUUUAUCCAGGAGUUACCUUGGAAAUUCCUCCUGGAGUUCAUCGGGAAUACUUCCAGGAAUUUCUCAGGGGCUUCCUGUAACAGUUUGUUCGGAAAUUUUACCAGCAGUUCCUUCGGGAAUUCUUAGAGGAGCUUCUGCAGGAAUCCUUCAGGAUUUUUUUCGGGAAUGGCUCCAGGAAUGCCCACGGAAAUUUAAAAAAAAAACUACAAUUAUUCCAGGUCUGCGCUCUAAUAGCAAUUUUUCCAUGAAAUCUCCGGGAAUUCCUCCAGGAGCUCUGUGAAACUUCUUCAAGGAGUUCUUCGAUAUUUCUUCGGGUAAGAUUUUCUUAGGGGAUUACUCCAGGAGGUCUUCGAGAAUUCCUUCAGGAAUUUCUUCGGUAACACAUCCAGGAAAUUGAUGUCAUCAAAACUGUACAAAUUCCUACGAGGGAUUCCGACUUUCUUCGGGAAUCUUCAAAUCAAACUCUUCAGAAGUUUCUCCGGGAAUUUCUACAGGAAUUUUGCGAGAAAUCCUACAGGAUUUCUUCCACAAUUUUUCUCGGAGCUUCUGCCAGGAAUUCCCCCAUGAGUUCCAUCAGAAGUUUCUUCACGAGUUUUUUGUUAGGAAAUUCCAAGAGGAAUUCAUUGGGGAGUUUCUUCGAGAAUUUCUUCAGUAGUUCCAUUGGAAAUUUAUUCAGGAGUUUCUUCAGGAACUUCUCCAUGAGUUUUUCUGGAGCUCCACCAAAAGUUUGUUAGGAUUUUUUCGGGGGUACCUUUAAAAAUUUCUCUACUAGUUGCUUCGGAAAUUGCUCAAGGAGUUCUGCGGGAUUUACUCGAGAACUCUGUGGAACUUCGUCAUGAACUCUUCGGGAAUUCUUACAGGAGUCCUUCAAGAAUUCCUACGGGAUUCCCUUGCAAAAUUCUUCGGCAAUUCCUACAGGAGCUCUGCGAAACUUCCUUAGGGAAUUUCUCCAGGAGUUUCUUAAGUAGUUUCUUCGGGAAUUCCUCUGGGAGUUCCUUCAUAAACUCCUCCAGUUUUUUUUUCAGAAUUCCAUCAGCAGUUUCUUGGGAAAUUACCCCAGGAUGUCCUUCAUGAGUUUUUUCCAGAAUUCCUUCACAAGUUCAUUCCGAAUUCUUCCAGGAGUUCCUUCUGAAUUCGGGAAUUUCUCCAGGUGAUCCUAGAGAAUUUCUUCUUUUUCAUGUUUUCUUUGGGAUUUCUUGCAGAAUUUUCUUAGGGAAUAAGUCCAGGAGUUCCUUCCGGAUUUCCCCCAAGGGUUCCUUCCGAAAUUCUUCCAAGAGUUCCUUCCGGAAUUCGGGAAUUUUUCCAGGUGUUCUUAGAAAAUAUCUCCAGGACUUCUUCGGGAUUUCCUACAGGAUUUUCAUAGGGAAUUACUCCAGGAGAUCUUUCUGGUAUUCCUCCAGUUGUUCCUUCAAGAAUAUCUCCAGGAUUUUUUUCGGGAAUUCCUCUAAGAGUUUUUUCCAGAAUUGUUUCAGAAGUUCCUUCCACAAUUUUUCUAGAAGUUCCUUCCGGAAUUCCUUCAGGAGUUGCUUCCGAUAUUCUUUCAGGCGUUCUUUCCGGAAUUCCUUCAGCAGUUCCUUCAAGAGUCCCUCCAUGAGUUCCUUUAGGAAUUGUUCCAAGAGUUCUUCCGGAAUUCCUUCUGGAGUCCCUUCCGGAAUUCCUUCAGGAGUUCCUUCCGGAAUUCCUUCAGGAGUUCCUUCCGGAAUUCUUUCAGAAGUUCCUUC
Molecule: long non-coding RNA, 3036 nt
Organism: Aedes albopictus (Asian tiger mosquito)
Lineage: Eukaryota; Metazoa; Arthropoda; Insecta; Diptera; Culicidae
Exons: 3
Source: RefSeq, a predicted model, not a curated record